RNAcentral lists this long non-coding RNA (315 nucleotides) under Coffea arabica (coffee). RNAcentral's name for it is "long non-coding RNA (CARA_LNC007811)". The record is from RNAcentral. Lineage: Eukaryota; Viridiplantae; Streptophyta; Magnoliopsida; Gentianales; Rubiaceae.
CUGUCGAAAUGUGAUAAUGCGCAUCCACCUCCGGUGCCAAAUGUUUUUCGAUUAUGAUCUCCUUGUCCAGUCCGGCUUCAUACCACUGUUGGUUUUCAAGCGAGGUGAAUCAUGUGGUAUCGUAGUCCGGCGGUGGCUCGGCACGGCUAGUAGACGCGGUCUUCCGGCGAGAGCGAGGUGGCGGCUCCGGCAAAGGAGAUUCUUCCUCAGGUGACUCCUCAUGCAAAGAGGGUGUGUGUUCCUCACUUGAGGAAGGAGUAGGAGUACGAAUGCGAGCCCUCCUUGUGUGAGUCAUAGUUCCUCUUCAAAAAUAAG